GACGAACGCUGGCGGCGUGCUUAACACAUGCAAGUCGAACGGAAAGGCCCAGCCUUUGUGGGGUGCUCGAGUGGCGAACGGGUGAGUAACACGUGAGUAACCUGCCCUUGACUUCGGGAUAACCUUAGGAAACUGGGGCUAAUACCGGAUAGGAGCUCUUGCUGGAUGGUGGGGGUUGGAAUGUUUCGGCGGUUGGGGAUGGUCUCGCGGCUUCUCCGCUUGUUGGUGGGGUAGUGGCUCACCAGGGUCUUGACGGGUCGCCGGCCUGAGAGGGUGACCGGCCACAUGGGGCCGGGGAAAGGGCCCGAACUCCUACGGGGGGAGGCGGGGGGGAUUAUGGCACAAGGGGGGGAGGCCGAAGGCGGGAAGGCGGGGGGCGGGAUAACGGCCUUCGGUUUUUAAACCGCUUUGGCCGGGGACAAGGGGUUAGUGACGGUAAUGGGUAAAGAAGCACCGGCUAACUACGUG
This 468-nucleotide ribosomal RNA is filed under the name uncultured bacterium. RNAcentral describes it as "partial 16S ribosomal RNA". It matches the Rfam family "Bacterial small subunit ribosomal RNA", at positions 28 to 507 of the family's 1533-position model. The record is from RNAcentral.